Molecule: RNA transcript, 1608 nt
Organism: Nilaparvata lugens (brown planthopper)
Lineage: Eukaryota; Metazoa; Arthropoda; Insecta; Hemiptera; Delphacidae
Exons: 3
Source: RefSeq, a predicted model, not a curated record
GACACGACAUACAGACAGGAUUUACUCUGAUGGACAGUAUAAGAGGAAGCUGCGGUUUAUAACUGCGCGAGGUCUACUACUAGUUAGGCCUAAGUCAUUUAUACUGUAAGCACAGCAGUCAAUUAAGUAAAUAAAUAAAAUUUCUUUGAAGGAUGCAAGUGGGAGUGUACACAUUAUGGUUGUUCACGGAAAGCAAAACGAAACGAUGCCGCUAUUCAUUGAGCUUGAGGAAAAAUACCUUUUUUGAGAAAUCAUUUCAUGCAUUGUGGGAAAUUUUAGGAUUUUUCCAUUUGUGGUUGAAGAACGUUUCGUCAAAAGUGAUUAGUGAGGAGAUGGAUAUUGCAAGUAAAACAGUUGUAGACUGGAGCUCUUUUUGUAGAGAUGUAAUAUUUGAUGCUAUGCUUGUUAGAAAGCAGAAAAUUGGUGGUCCAGGGUCCAGGUAGGAAAGUGCAAAUUGGUGAAAGUAAGUUUGGGAGAAGGAGGUAUAAUAGAGGCCGUCUUAUUGGAGGACAGUGGGUUUUGGGGGGAGUGGAUGAGCAAUCUUGUGAUACGUUUAUGGUAGAAGAUAGAACUUCGGAGACACUGGUGCCAAUUAUAAAAGAGUUUAUUCUACCAGGUACAACUAUUGUAUCGGACUUUUUGAGGGUCUAUGACUGUUUACAGGAUGAAGGCUAUGAGCAUCAUACGGGGUUCAUAUGAUUUAGAUCAGUUUCUUCAAAAUAAGAUUUGAAAACAAUUGUCCAAGAAGAGACAACUAAAGUUGAGUGCCGGAAAUUUAUGCAGACAGGGGAAUGUCACUAUGGAGAACACUGCAAUUUCACUCACUAUUCACGAGCUCAACUUAAUGAUCUGGUGCUCAGAGCUAGAGAAGAGGAACAUAUGAAGCUGCAUCCAGAAAUUAAUCUGCCAACAGUUGAUUCCUGGCUAGAAAAGAGAAGAAAAAGACUGAUUGACCCCACGGACUCAACUAAAACUACAUCUUUUACACAACAAAACUUUGAUCCUGAUCUACCUCCAUCAAUGCAGCCAAUUAACUACAGAAAUGUUUUGAAUAAAGAACUGAGUACAUGGGGAUGAUCGAUAUUGUGGAAUAAUUAUUCUGUUUGAAUAUGAUACCGGUUCGGUUUUUUAUAUUCCCAGUUUUUCUCGAAUGCCGUUAUUGGACGUCUAAUUUCCUUGGUAGAAAUUCUUCGAUAGACUAUUUUAGAUUUCAUUCGAGAUAUUUAUUUAGUUAAGAAUAUUUCAUUUUGUUUAUUGAUAAACAUGAAAUCGGUUUGGAAACAGCAGGCAUGUAUCCCAAACCACUUCUAAUACAUAAAAUUUGAAGAAAAGUACCUUAAAUAAUUAGAAAAACUCCACAUUUGCUCAGUUGAAUCAGAGACAAAUAAUACAAGUCUUAAUUCAAUUUCAUUUUAACGGUAACGUUAUCUUACCGUAACGUUAUCAUUAAACGUAACGGUACCGUAUCUUCAUUCUAUGGUUGAAUACAACUAUCCAACUUCUACAAUUAGUUGUUCUGUAAUCGUGAAUUGUUUGAAUAGAAUUUAAACUGUUAAUUUGUAGUUUCCCGUACAUCAUGUGUGUAAAUAUAAAAUUGAAGCUAUGAUA